GAUGAACGCUGGCGGCGUGCCUAAUACAUGCAAGUCGAGCGAACAGAUGAGGAGCUUGCUCCUCUGACGUUAGCGGCGGACGGGUGAGUAACACGUGGAUAACCUACCUAUAAGACUGGGAUAACUUCGGGAAACCGGAGCUAAUACCGGAUAAUAUAUUGAACCGCAUGGUUCAAUAGUGAAAGACGGUUUUGCUGUCACUUAUAGAUGGAUCCGCGCCGCAUUAGCUAGUUGGUAAGGUAACGGCUUACCAAGGCAACGAUGCGUAGCCGACCUGAGAGGGGGGCGCCCCCACUGGGAAGUGACCAGCGGCCCAGGCACCUAGGGGGGGCCCAGGCGGGGAAUUGGCGCAACAGGGCGAAAGCUUGCAGGAGCAACGGCGGGGGGGUGCAAAAGGUUCUCGGGCCGUAAAACUGUGUUUUUGGGGAAAAACAAAUGUGUAAGUAACUAAGCACUUUUUGCGGGAACCGAUUAAGAAACCCCCGGCUAACUCCUG
This 496-nucleotide ribosomal RNA is filed under the name uncultured bacterium. Its description in RNAcentral is "partial 16S ribosomal RNA". It matches the Rfam family "Bacterial small subunit ribosomal RNA", at positions 28 to 506 of the family's 1533-position model. The record is from RNAcentral.